AUUGAACGCUGGCGGCAGGCCUAACACAUGCCAGUCGAGCGGAUGAAGGGAGCUUGCUCCUGGAUUCAGCGGCGGACGGGUGAGUAAUGCCUAGGAAUCUGCCUGGUAGUGGGGGAUAACGUCCGGAAACGGGCGCUAAUACCGCAUACGUCCUGAGGGAGAAAGUGGGGGAUCUUCGGACCUCACGCUAUCAGAUGAGCCUAGGUCGGAUUAGCUAGUUGGUGGGGUAAAGGCCUACCAAGCCGACGAUCCGUAACUGGUCUGAGAGGAUGAUCAGUCACACUGGAACUGAGACACGGUCCAGACUCCUACGGGAGGCAGCAGUGGGGAAUAUUGGACAAUGGGCGAAAGCCUGAUCCAGCCAUGCCGCGUGUGUGAAGAAGGUCUUCGGAUUGUAAAGCACUUUAAGUUGGGAGGAAGGGCAGUAAGUUAAUACCUUGCUGUUUUGACGGUACCAACAGAAUAAGCACCGGCUAACUUCGUG
This 484-nucleotide ribosomal RNA is filed under the name uncultured bacterium. RNAcentral's name for it is "partial 16S ribosomal RNA". It matches the Rfam family "Bacterial small subunit ribosomal RNA", at positions 30 to 507 of the family's 1533-position model. The record is from RNAcentral.